This is a non-coding RNA of Lentinula aciculospora, 79 nucleotides long. The record is from the annotation of a GenBank genome assembly. NCBI's taxonomy places the organism in Eukaryota, Fungi, Basidiomycota, Agaricomycetes, Agaricales, Omphalotaceae.
GGCCGCCUGGCGAAAUGGCAUCGCGUCUGACUACGAAAAUGUAAUCAGGAGAUUGCAGGUUCGACCCCUGCGGUGGUCA